Molecule: ribosomal RNA, 433 nt
Filed under: uncultured bacterium
Lineage: Bacteria
Description: partial 16S ribosomal RNA
Rfam family: Bacterial small subunit ribosomal RNA
Source: RNAcentral
AGCGAACGCUGGCGGCAGGCCUAACACAUGCAAGUCGAACGAACCCUUCGGAGUUAGUGGCGGACGGGUGAGUAACACGUGGGAACGUGCCUUUUGGUUCGGAAUAACUCAGGGAAACUUGUGCUAAUUCCGAAUGUGCCCUUCGGGGGAAAGAUUUAUCGCCAUUAGAGCGGCCCGCGUCUGAUUAGCUAGUUGGUGAGGUAACGGCUCACCAAGGCGACGAUCAGUAGCUGGUCUGAGAGGAUGACCAGCCACACUGGGACUGAGACACGGCCCAGACUCCUACGGGAGGCAGCAGUGGGGAAUCUUGCGCAAUGGGCGAAAGCCUGACGCAGCCAUGCCGCGUGAAUGAUGAAGGUCUUAGGAUUGUAAAAUUCUUUCACCGGGGACGAUAAUGACGGUACCCGGAGAAGAAGCCCCGGCUAACUUCGUG